This 521-nucleotide ribosomal RNA is filed under the name uncultured bacterium. RNAcentral's name for it is "bacterial SSU rRNA". It matches the Rfam family "Bacterial small subunit ribosomal RNA", at positions 996 to 1517 of the family's 1533-position model. The record is from RNAcentral.
AACCUUAGAGAUAAGGCGUUCCCUUCGGGGACGCAAUGACAGGUGGUGCAUGGUCGUCGUCAGCUCGUGUCGUGAGAUGUUGGGUUAAGUCCCGCAACGAGCGCAACCCUUGUUACUAGUUGCCAGCAUUAAGUUGGGCACUCUAGUGAGACUGCCGGUGACAAACCGGAGGAAGGUGGGGACGACGUCAGAUCAUCAUGCCCCUUAUGAUCUGGGCUACACACGUGCUACAAUGGCGUAAACAGAGGGAGGCGAAGGAGCGAUCCGGAGCAAACCCCAGAAAUAACGUCCCAGUUCGGAUUGCAGGCUGCAACCCGCCUGCAUGAAGCUGGAAUCGCUAGUAAUCGCGGAUCAGAAUGCCGCGGUGAAUACGUUCCCGGGUCUUGCACACACCGCCCGUCACACCAUGGGAGUCGGUAACGCCUGAAGUCAGUGACCCAACCUUAACGGAGGGAGCUGCCGAAGGCGGGACUGGUAACUGGGGUGAAGUCGUAACAAGGUAGCCGUAUCGGAAGGUGCGG